CCCCCCCACCCCCCUCCUCCUUCUCUUCUACCACGUGAUUGCAGAGCCUCACCACUCAAUAUAGUCUUGGUGAAAACACUGAGAGAUGGAGAGAUGAGCUCAGAUGGGGAACACUGGAGCUCAGUUUCACAGGCAUAGGGCUGGGGUUGUGUGUGGAGCUCAGGGGCAAUAAGGCAUAGGGCUGGGGUUGUGUGUGGGGCUCAGGAGCAAUAAGGUAUAGGGCUGGGGUUGUGUGUGGGGCUCAGGAGCAAUAAGGUAUAGGGCUGGGGUUGUGUGUGGAGCUCAGG
Long non-coding RNA from Rana temporaria (common frog), 287 nucleotides. RefSeq lists it as uncharacterized. The transcript is spliced from 2 exons. Lineage: Eukaryota; Metazoa; Chordata; Amphibia; Anura; Ranidae. The record is from RefSeq and is a predicted model, not a curated record.